UUUCUUAAACCCGGCCCCGGAGAUACCGUGAUCACGAAGGCGGGUUUUUCCCCCGACGGGGGUCACCAUUCACUCCGGGGUCGCGACCCUUGCAUUAAAAACCCCCAAAGUGUUUGGGGCCCAAUUUUUUUAAGCGGGGGAAAUCCGUUCGCGCUAUCCCCCU
Small nuclear RNA from Penaeus monodon (black tiger shrimp), 163 nucleotides. RefSeq annotates it as U1 spliceosomal RNA. The record is from RefSeq and is a predicted model, not a curated record. The transcript has a single exon. Lineage: Eukaryota; Metazoa; Arthropoda; Malacostraca; Decapoda; Penaeidae.